Molecule: non-coding RNA, 1616 nt
Organism: Helianthus annuus (common sunflower)
Lineage: Eukaryota; Viridiplantae; Streptophyta; Magnoliopsida; Asterales; Asteraceae
Source: Rfam
UACCUGGUUAUCCUGCAGUAGUCCAUAUGCUUGUCUCAAAGAUAAGCCCAUGCAUAAGUAUGAACACAAAUUCAGACUGUGAAACCCUGCAAUGGCUCAUUAAAAUCAGUUAAUAGUUUGUUGAUGUACUGCUACUCGGAAACCGUAGUAAUCUAGAGCUAAUACGCAACAAACCUGACUCUGAAGGGAGCAUUUAUUAAUAAAAGGUCGACGCGGGCUUUGCCCGUUGCUUGCGAUGAUUCAUGAUAACUCGACGGAUCGCACGGCCCUUGUGCCGGCGACGCAUCAUCAAAUUUCGCCCUAUCAACUUUCGAUGAGAUAGUGCCUACUAUGGUGGGACGGGUGACGGAGAAUUAGGGUCGAUCCGGAAGGACCUGAGAAACGGCUACCACAUCCAAGGAAGGCACAGCGCGCAAAUUACCCAAUCCUGACACGGAGUAUGACAAAAAUAACAAUACCGGCUCAUACGAGUCUGGAAUUGAAAGAACAAUCUAAAUCCCUAACGAGAUCCAUGGAGGCAAUCUGUCCAGCACCGCGUAAUCCAGCUCCAAUAGCGUAAUUAAGUUGUGCAGUUAAAAAGCUCGUAGUUACUGGGUUGGUCGCCGUCCGCCACAGUGCAACCGUUACCGCCCUUCUGUCGCGAUGCGCUCCUACCCUUAACUGGGCGGUUCGCCCCGCGUUUACUUAAAAAUUAGAGUGCCAAAGCAAGCCUACCUCGUAUACAUUAGCAUGGGAUAACAUCAUAGAUCGUCCUAUACGUGGCCUCGGAUCGAGUAAUGAUAACAGGACAUCGGGGGCAUUCGUAUUCAUAGUCAGAGUGAAAUCCUUGAUAUAAAGACGAACAACUGCGAAAGCAUUGCCAAGGAUUUCAUUAAUCAAGAAACGAAAUUGGGGCUCGAAGACGAUCAGAUACCGUCCAGUCCAACCAAAACGAUCCGACCAGGAUCACGGAGUUGCUUUAGGACUCCGCGCACCUAUGAGAAACAAAGUUUGGUCCGGGGAUAUGGUCGCAAGGCUGAAACUAAAGGAAUGACGGAAGGCACCACCAGAUGAGCCUGCCGCUUAAUUGACUCAACACGGAAACUACCAGUCCAGACAAUAGUAAGAUUGACAGACUGAGAGCUCUUUCUGAUCUAUGGUGGUGGCAAUGCCGUCUAUGGUGAGCGAUUGUCUGUUAAUCCGUAACGAACGAGACCUCAGCCUGCUAACUAGCUAUGUGGAGUAUCCCUCCAUGGCCAGCUUCUUAGAGGACUAUGCCUUUAGGCCACGGAAGUUGAGGCAAUAACAGCCGUGAUGCCCUUAGAUUCUGGCCGCACGCGCGCUACACUGAUGUAUCAACGAGUAUAUAGCCUGCCACAGCCCGGAAAUCUUUGAAAUUUCAUCUGAUGGGAUAGAUCAUGCAAUGUGUCUAAACGAGAAUCCUAUAAGCGCGAGUCAUCAAGCUCGCGUUGACUACGUCCCUCCCUUUGUACACACCGCCCUCCCCCUACCGAUGAAGUCCGUGAAGGUUAGAUCGGCGACUGGCGUCGCUGCCCCGACGUCGCGAGAAUUCCACUGAACCUAUCAUUAGAGGAAGAAAUCUAACAAGGUUCCCGUAGUAACCUGCGAAGACAUUG